This 492-nucleotide ribosomal RNA is filed under the name uncultured bacterium. Its description in RNAcentral is "partial 16S ribosomal RNA". It matches the Rfam family "Bacterial small subunit ribosomal RNA", at positions 29 to 507 of the family's 1533-position model. The record is from RNAcentral.
AGUGAACGCUGGCGGUAGGCCUAACACAUGCAAGUCGAACGGCAGCACAGUAAGAGCUUGCUCUUACGGGUGGCGAGUGGCGGACGGGUGAGGAAUGCAUCGGAAUCUACUUUUUCGUGGGGGAUAACGUAGGGAAACUUACGCUAAUACCGCAUACGACCUACGGGUGAAAGCAGGGGAUCUUCGGACCUUGCGCGAUUGAAUGAGCCGAUGUCGGAUUAGCUAGUUGGCGGGGUAAAGGCCCACCAAGGCGACGAUCCGUAGCUGGUCUGAGAGGAUGAUCAGCCACACUGGAACUGAGACACGGUCCAGACUCCUACGGGAGGCAGCAGUGGGGAAUAUUGGACAAUGGGCGCAAGCCUGAUCCAGCCAUACCGCGUGGGUGAAGAAGGCCUUCGGGUUGUAAAGCCCUUUUGUUGGGAAAGAAAAGCAGCAGGUUAAUACCCCGCUGUUCUGACGGUACCCAAAGAAUAAGCACCGGCUAGCUUCGUG